Molecule: long non-coding RNA, 238 nt
Filed under: Elaeis guineensis (African oil palm)
Lineage: Eukaryota; Viridiplantae; Streptophyta; Magnoliopsida; Arecales; Arecaceae
Description: long non-coding RNA (EGUI_LNC004731)
Source: RNAcentral
UAUUCUAUAAAUUCAAUAAAAUUAAAUAAUAACAGAAAGUGAUUGAUUGGGUGAUCAGUCCGAUAGACCAUCCGGACACUAAAUUGAUUCGGGGUUAUAGGUCUCUAGAAGAGGAAAAGAUGGCCCAAUACAUGAUCUACAAGUCUUUUUUAGAGAGAGAAAGGAGGAGAGAGAAAAUUUUUGGAGAGAGAAAAUAGAGAGAGAAAGUGGAGAGAGAAGAGAGGGAGAAAGAGGGGAG